Molecule: ribosomal RNA, 430 nt
Filed under: uncultured bacterium
Lineage: Bacteria
Description: bacterial SSU rRNA
Rfam family: Bacterial small subunit ribosomal RNA
Source: RNAcentral
UGGGGAAUAUUGGACAAUGGGGGCAACCCUGAUCCAGCAAUUCCGCGUGUGUGAAGAAGGCCUGCGGGUUGUAAAGCACUUUCAGUAGCCAAGAUGGGAUUAUUCGCUAAUAUCGAAUAAUCUUGACAUUAACUACAGAAGAAGCACCGGCUAACUCCGUGCCAGCAGCCGCGGUAAUACGGAGGGUGCAAGCGUUAAUCGGAAUUACUGGGCGUAAAGAGUACGUAGGCGGCUUUGCAAGUCGGGUGUGAAAGCCCUGAGCUUAACUCAGGAACUGCAUUCGAUACUGCAUCGCUAGAGUUUAUUAGAGGAUAGCGGAAUUCCAGGUGUAGCGGUGAAAUGCGUAGAUAUCUGGAGGAACACCAAUGGCGAAGGCAGCUAUCUGGGAUACAACUGACGCUGAGGUACGAAAGCGUGGGGAGCAAACAGG